RNAcentral lists this ribosomal RNA (497 nucleotides) under uncultured bacterium. Its description in RNAcentral is "partial 16S ribosomal RNA". It matches the Rfam family "Bacterial small subunit ribosomal RNA", at positions 28 to 507 of the family's 1533-position model. The record is from RNAcentral.
GAUGAACGCUGGCGGCGUGCCUAAUACAUGCAAGUCGAGCGAACGGACGAGAAGCUUGCUUCUCUGAUGUUAGCGGCGGACGGGUGAGUAACACGUGGAUAACCUACCUAUAAGACUGGGAUAACUUCGGGAAACCGGAGCUAAUACCGGAUGAUAUUUUGAACCGCAUGGUUCAAAAGUGAAAGACGGUCUUGCUGUCACUUAUAGAUGGAUCCGCGCUGCAUUAGCUAGUUGGUAAGGUAACGGCUUACCAAGGCAACGAUGCAUAGCCGACCUGAGAGGGUGAUCGGCCACACGGGAACUGAGACACGGUCCUGACUCCUACGGGAGGCAGCAGUAGGGAAUCUUCCGCAAUGGGCGAAAGCCUGACGGAGCAACGCCGCGUGAGUUAUGAAGGUCUUCGGAUCGUAAAACUCUGUUAUUAGGGAAGAACAUAUGUGUAAGUAACUGUGCACAUCUUGACGGUACCUAAUCAGAAAGCCACGGCUAACUACGUG